GGCUGGUCCGAUGGCAGUGGGUUAUCAGAACUUACCUAAAGUUAGGAUAACUAACUUACUUUAAAAGUUAGCAUCACUAACCCCCCACUGCUAAACUUGACUGGCUUUUA
Molecule: Y RNA, 110 nt
Filed under: Myotis brandtii (Brandt's bat)
Lineage: Eukaryota; Metazoa; Chordata; Mammalia; Chiroptera; Vespertilionidae
Rfam family: Y RNA
About the family: Y RNAs are components of the Ro ribonucleoprotein particle (Ro RNP), in association with Ro60 and La proteins.
Source: Rfam by way of RNAcentral